AUUGGCCUGCUCAGGAGUAUUUUUCUUCCUGCGAUUUUCAGUAAUAUUUCCAAACGUUUACACUCAUUUGGAGUUUUGUUGGUGAAUUAGUGUUGUGAAGGACACGUCACGUGACAUAAUUACUGUCACCACCCACUUAUUCACAAUGAUGCUCAUAGUGAUUGGAUAAAGCUAGUGAACAUAGAUUAAAUAACAAAUGGAUGGAUACAACUAUCAAUGCAAUAUCUUGUUUGCAUGGCAAAAGUGAGUUAUUGACAUCACAAGAAGAAAUGGGAUAAAAACUUAUUGUAACCAGAACAGAAAACAACGGAGUCAACAACGAUGAAAACAACAAAAAACGACAGACAUUUUCCCCUCAUACACAUUUACCCUUACUUACGAUGAUAUGUAUAAGAUAAAAAUAACGACCAAAAAGACAAUGACAAUUUGUUGUCACCUUCAGCAGGAUUUGCAACUUUACCCCCCCCCCUUUUGUCUGGUGCAAAAUCUUUGAUAAAUGUCAAACUCCGAUGUUUAAGCAGGAACCUUCAGACAAUGAUCAUCACAAC
Molecule: long non-coding RNA, 548 nt
Organism: Saccoglossus kowalevskii
Lineage: Eukaryota; Metazoa; Hemichordata; Enteropneusta; Harrimaniidae
Source: RefSeq, a predicted model, not a curated record